This 29-nucleotide non-coding RNA is filed under the name Rattus norvegicus (Norway rat). The record is from RNAcentral. Lineage: Eukaryota; Metazoa; Chordata; Mammalia; Rodentia; Muridae.
UAUUUCUUCCUUGCUAUCCCCAUCUACUA